Long non-coding RNA from Pan troglodytes (chimpanzee), 888 nucleotides. RefSeq lists it as uncharacterized. NCBI's taxonomy places the organism in Eukaryota, Metazoa, Chordata, Mammalia, Primates, Hominidae. The record is from RefSeq and is a predicted model, not a curated record. The transcript has 2 exons.
ACUUUUUUUAGAAGGGGUUCGUAAGCUUGUGUUAUACUAAAGCUUAGCUCCUCAAGCAAACUGGUGUUUUCCCUUUUUGUUAUCAGUAGAGGACUUUCAUUGUUGCUUUUUUUCUUCAGUAGAGUUUUUGAAAUCUGCAGGGGCUUUUCUGUUUUUCUUUUGUUUUGCUCUUUUUUGCUUUUUUUUAAAGAAAGUUUUUAAAUGUUCAUUUAGUAAUGGAGUCAAAGUGGAACCAGGAAGGCAAUUCUUAAAAAAAAAAAAAAUUGUCCAAAAUUAAAAUUCCUGACCUUAAUGGAAAAUAAAAAAUUUUACCAUUAAAUCAUGAGACAAAUGCAGUUAGGAUAUAUCAGCUAUCAAAGUGCAGAAAUCAAGUCUCCAUGAGAAAUAAACCUUUGCUGCUGGAUUCUUUCACUAUGAUGGCAGAAAAUCAAGACUUGGAGGAGACUGUUAUAUAAAGUUUCUCUAACAUUCAUUACAUUUAUCUAAGGACUCUAUCAGAUACUUUCAGUGUGGUCUCUCCUAAGUUCAUUGAAAUUCAAAAUAAUUAAUUGAAGUAAAGCCCUGUAUUUGUGCAUGCGUUCUGAGCAAUUAAGUGGAGUGAAACACAUGUAUUGCUAAUCUUGCAUGCUGUGAUUAAGAUAGAAAUGAAGACGUCCAUCAAACGAGAUUACUUCUUCAUCAACAAGGCUCAGAAAUAUUUCUACAGCUGUUUAGAUCGUUUUAAUUGUAUCAGAGCCUCUCACAUCAUGGUUUAAGUGAGGCACUAUUUCCCCCCAUUAAAAAAGAGACUAUGAAGAUAUGAGAGUAUACUAAUCCGCAUGUGAAAGAAAUCACAAUGCAUUUAAAGGUUUCUUUACCAAUAAAAUUAGAUUAGCUAAAGAAACAAAA